CUUGUAUCUGAGGGAGCUGACCUCACCAUUACUGAUGGAAACAACACUGACUGCCUGAUGCUGGCAAGUGAGAAAGGUAACAUGUCUAUUAUCAAAACAUCCUAUCCAUGAAAACAUGUGACAUCAACAGGCGGGGAGGAUUCGAAGAAAAACACCAAUUAUGAUAGCAUUAGAAGAGGACACUAUCAUGCGUAUCGUCUCCUUGUAUCUCAGGGCGCAGAUCUGACCAUUACUGAUGAAGACAACAGGAGAUUGCCUGUUGUUGGCAUGUGAAGGAGGUAACAUAUCCAUUGUGAAACACAUCUUAUCCAUGAAAACAUAGUGACAUCAACAAACGGGGAGGAUUAUCAGGAACAACACCAAUUAUGAUAGCAUUAAACAGAGAACACUAUCAUGUGUAUUUUCUCCUUGUAUCUGAGGGCGCAGAUCUGACCAUUACUGAUACAAACAACAGAGAUUGCCUGAUGUUGGCAUGUGAAGGAGGUAACAUAUCCAUUGUGAAACACAUCCUAUCCCUGAAAACAUGUGACAUCAACAGACGGGGAGGAAAGUCAAAACAAACACCGAUAAUGAUGGCAUUAAAGAGACGACACUAUGAUGUGUAUUCAUCUCCUUUGUAUCUGAGGGUGCCGAUCUGAC
Molecule: long non-coding RNA, 639 nt
Organism: Haliotis rubra (blacklip abalone)
Lineage: Eukaryota; Metazoa; Mollusca; Gastropoda; Lepetellida; Haliotidae
Exons: 2
Source: RefSeq, a predicted model, not a curated record